ACGGGGAAAGGGAGGGUCCUGGGCACCAACAAAGCGCACACGCAUGCUGGGGAGCCAAGGGACAGAGGCGGUCGGCUCGCGGCUUUCUCUCUGCCCUGGCAAAGGAGGAGGGGGAAGAAGAGAGAGAGGGAAGGCAAAGUACCGUCUUGUCCAGGCACUGAAGGCAGUUAUAAGGCUUGCAGCAGCAAUGGCCCAUCCCGGCAGGCUGGCUGGUAAGGGGACCUCCUGCUUUCAACGUGUCAGCGGUAAUUCCUAAGCCCAGGAACUGGCACUCGAGAAAGGGGCGCGCCGCCGGGAGCUGUCACAACUUCCAUGUGGUCCCUUCGGCUACCUCAUUUCUCCUAAUAACUUCAGGUAUCCAGGCGCCAGAGGGUUGAGAGGCAGAGGAGGGCGGAGCAGCAGCCUCCGGAAUCCUGCUGCGGGAGGCCACCCUGGCGGGCGGGAGGAAGGGAGGCGACAGGCAGUAGGGAGGGUCACUUUGCCCCCGGAAUCCUCAGAGUGAGGCAAAUCAAUAGUCGCAUAACAAGGGAGCAUUCGCCAGUGCCAUCUCCCCCGGAGGACAGCCAGCCUGCUCUCAGCCGGCAGCCGCUCCCAGCCCUCCCGAGUGCGGAUGCGCCCUGCACCACGCAGACACGCCUGGAGAGGACGCAGGACGCACACAAAAGGAGCCCGGCUUCCAGGGACGGUCUGAGGACCACCGGGCCAGAGCGGUCAGAUCCGGGCUUUCUGUUCCUCUAAGAAGUAAAGACCUUUGUAAGUGUGAUGAUGUGGCCUCUCCUCCCUGGCAACUCCAUUUGUUGCCCAUGAGAACCAUUUUCCAAUUUCAUGCCAUAAACAGUUUUUGACUUUCUUUGAUGAAAUCUUUACAUUUGUAAUAUAAUUUUUAAAAAAAAUUUUUUUAGUUGUAUAUGGACUCAAUGCCUUUAUUUGUUUUUAUGUGGUGCUAGGAUCGAACCCAGUGCCUAAUUUUGAGACAUAAUUGUGAAAUCACAUAUACAAACCAUCCAAGUGGCUUCGGUAAUUAAAAUUGUGGUUUGGGAUAUAUUUUUCCAGGUAUUUCUCCAAAGCAAAUGGGCAUAAAAGCUUAGAGGACUUGAUUACUUUUAAGGCAAUUUAUUAAUUAUUUUUAAUUAAAAAAUUAAAAAUAGAAGAGGGCAAAAGUUAUUUUCAAAACAGACUUGGUAUUUAAAAAAUAUAUUUAUGUAAUCCUGAAAUUAAAGAUGCAAAUAUUGGCAAGAUUGACUUUGACCCAGAGGAGAAAUUCCAAAAUUUGUCAUGAGCAAAAAUACACAAUUACAUUUUCAUCCAAUAAAGUUGCCUUGGCUAGAAGCAGACAAUAGUUGCUGAAAUUAGGUGAUUUUACUAAUUUAACUGAGAUUUUCUAAGCAGAUUUUAACUAAAUAACUAGUACAGGCUACCGUUGAUUUACUUGUAGAAAGACAAAAGUAUUUGGUCAAAUAUGGACAGAGUGGAAUAUUUGGAAUGCUUGUCCUAAAUGUGACAAAAUAAAUGCAAAUCUUUUUAAAGCUAGCAGAUAAAUUAGCAUAAUCCUUUAGGAAGGCAAUUUGGCCAUAUCUACCACAUUUUAAAAUAUCCAUAUACUUUUUGACCCAAGAUUUUCCCUUCUAUCCUAUGCUAAUACAUCAAUACCCAAGAGUGUAUGUGUCAGGAUCUUCAAUUCAACAUCAUUUGUAACAGCAUAAAAAUAGGAAAUACCCUAGGUUUCUGAAACCUUCCUACUAUAUGAAAAGGUGAUACACUGUUGAGUGAAAAAGUAAACUUUUUUUUGGUGGGGGGGGUAACCAGGGAUUGAAAUCAGGGGCACUCAACCAUAUCCCCACCUUUAUUUCGUAGUUUAUUUAGAGACAGGGUCUCACUGAGUUGCUUGGGAUCCUCCUGCCUCAGCCUUCUGAGGAGCUGGAACUUAAGGUGAGAAAAGGGAGGCUCAGAGAUUGUACAAACUUGCACAAGAAACUAAGAAAUUAUUGAUAGAGUGGAGCUUUGAAUGCCGGUCUGCCUCUCAAGCUCACAUCCUGUAAGCUGGUGUUAUAACCUGGAUAAAGGAUCUGAGUAUAUGAAUGUAUUCAAACAUGCUUGUAGAACUGCUCCAUGUUUUCACAGCUCAAAACAAGCGCUUCCAUUUUAAUUAUUUAUGAGAAGAGUGAUUUGUGAACCAUAAGCGGACUGCUAAGACAAAGAACGUGAAAGAAAGAAAAAGAGCAAUCACAAAAUAGAAGGCUUAUGGAUUUCAGUUUGAUUCUCGGCUGGGUGGCUUUGUGCGAAGCUGAGCUCCGUGGCCACUGCAAUGAGAGUCACCUGUGUGCCUAAUACAGGAGGGCAAGAGCACACUAGGGAAUGCAGCCAGCCUCAGAUGCCAUCUGUUCCUGUGAAGUGGGACACCCACCCCAUCAAACACUAUCCACCCGCCUGACCUGAUCCAAGAAUGGUCAAGAGGAAGAGAGGAAAAACAG
This is a long non-coding RNA of Marmota monax (woodchuck), 2471 nucleotides long. RefSeq lists it as uncharacterized. The transcript has 5 exons. The record is from RefSeq and is a predicted model, not a curated record. NCBI's taxonomy places the organism in Eukaryota, Metazoa, Chordata, Mammalia, Rodentia, Sciuridae.